Molecule: ribosomal RNA, 376 nt
Filed under: uncultured bacterium
Lineage: Bacteria
Description: bacterial SSU rRNA
Rfam family: Bacterial small subunit ribosomal RNA
Source: RNAcentral
UACGUAGGUGGCGAGCGUUGUCCGGAAUUACUGGGCGUAAAGGGCGAGUAGGCGGUCAUACAAGUCAGAUGUGAAAGGCAAGGGCUUAACCCUUGGACAGCAUUUGAAACUGUAUGACUUGAGUGCGGUAGAGGAAAGUGGAAUUCCCAGUGUAGCGGUGAAAUGCGUAGAUAUUGGGAGGAACACCAGUGGCGAAGGCGACUUUCUGGGCCGUAACUGACGCUGAGGCGCGAAAGCGUGGGGAGCAAACAGGAUUAGAUACCCUGGUAGUCCACGCCGUAAACGAUGGAUGCUAGGUGUGGGAGGUAUCGACCCCUUCCGUGCCGGAGUUAACGCAAUAAGCAUCCCGCCUGGGGAGUACGACCGCAAGGUUGAA